Molecule: non-coding RNA, 443 nt
Organism: Camellia sinensis
Lineage: Eukaryota; Viridiplantae; Streptophyta; Magnoliopsida; Ericales; Theaceae
Source: RefSeq, a predicted model, not a curated record
UCCUUUUUAUUUUCUGAUUACACUGAGAAGUUUGAAUGGUCAUGACCGCUGGACACAUUGAAGUAUUGCUAAAGUUUUGUUCAUUUUUUUACCUUUCAGGUCACUUUGGGUAUAUAGAAUUACCAAUUCCAGUAUAUCAUCCUUCCCAUGUGAGCGAACUAAAGCGGUUGUUGAGCCUGGUUUGCUUUAAGUGCUUGAAGUUGAGAAGUGGGAAGAUGAUUUUGGACAUACAAAUGUGGAUAUAUAAUUUUUUGACAAUUACGGGAGGGCAUUGUUUUUAUACCUCUAUUUGUAUAUAUAGUGGUUCGAACAAAUUAAUUUGGUUAUUUAUGUAUUAUGUAUGGAUUUAAAUUAUUGACGUUGGAUUAGACUUGGAGUGUAUGAAAUUUGUAUGGAUUAUGUAUGGAUUAUUGACCCUAAUAUAUUUUAGUAUUGAUGGAUUA